AUUGAACGCUGGCGGCAGGCCUAACACAUGCAAGUCGGACGGUAGCACAGAGGAGCUUGCUCUUCGGGUGACGAGUGGCGGACGGGUGAGUAAUGUCUGGGAAACUGCCCGAUGGAGGGGGAUAACUACUGGAAACGGUAGCUAAUACCGCAUAACGCCGCAAGACCAAAGUGGGGGACCUUCGGGCCUCACACCAUCGGAUGUGCCCAGAUGGGAUUAGCUGGUAGGCGGGGUAACGGCCCACCUAGGCGACGAUCCCUAGCUGGUCUGAGAGGAUGACCAGCCACACUGGAACUGAGACACGGUCCAGACUCCUACGGGAGGCAGCAGUGGGGAAUAUUGCACAAUGGGCGCAAGCCUGAUGCAGCCAUGCCGCGUGUAUGAAGAAGGCCUUCGGGUUGUAAAGUACUUUCAGCGGGGAGGAAGGUGCUGAGGUUAAUAAGCUCAGCAAUUGACGUUACCCGCAGAAGAAGCACCGGCUAACUCCGUGCCAGCCGCCGCGGUAA
This 506-nucleotide ribosomal RNA is filed under the name uncultured bacterium. RNAcentral's name for it is "partial 16S ribosomal RNA". It matches the Rfam family "Bacterial small subunit ribosomal RNA", at positions 29 to 523 of the family's 1533-position model. The record is from RNAcentral.